GACACAUCUUCUCAAGGAUCUGUCGAGUAAUCAGCUGCACCGAUCUGUUAAGCCUCCGAUAUUCUCGUCUUUUGGUGAUAUCGCAUUGGCUAUUGGGGAGAAAUUCGAGAAAUACUUAGUUUAUGCAAUGCCUAUGCUUCAGAGUGCAGCAGAGCUGUCUGCGCAAGCUGUAGCUUCAGACGAUGAAAUCAUUGACUACACCAACCAACUCAGGAGUGGAAUCUUGGAAGCAUACUCGG
This 239-nucleotide unclassified non-coding RNA is filed under the name Hevea brasiliensis (rubber tree). Lineage: Eukaryota; Viridiplantae; Streptophyta; Magnoliopsida; Malpighiales; Euphorbiaceae. The record is from RNAcentral.